GCUCAGGAUGAACGCUGGCGGCGUGCCUAAUACAUGCAAGUCGAGCGAACAGAUAAGGAGCUUGCUCCUUUGAAGUUAGCGGCGGACGGGUGAGUAACACGUGGGUAACCUACCUAUAAGACUGGAAUAACUUCGGGAAACCGGAGCUAAUGCCGGAUAACAUAUAGAACCGCAUGGUUCUAUAGUGAAAGAUGGUUUUGCUAUCACUUAUAGAUGGACCCGCGCCGUAUUAGCUAGUUGGUAAGGUAAUGGCUUACCAAGGCGACGAUACGUAGCCGACCUGAGAGGGUGAUCGGCCACACUGGAACUGAGACACGGUCCAGACUCCUACGGGAGGCAGCAGUAGGGAAUCUUCCGCAAUGGGCGAAAGCCUGACGGAGCAACGCCGCGUGAGUGAUGAAGGUUUUCGGAUCGUAAAACUCUGUUAUUAGGGAAGAACAAAUGCGUAAGUAACUGUGCGCAUCUUGACGGUACCUAAUCAGAAAGCCACGGCUAACUACGUGCCAGCAGCCGCGGUAAUACGUAGGUGGCAAGCGUUAUCCGGAAUUAUUGGGCGUAAAGCGCGCGUAGGCGGUUUCUUAAGUCUGAUGUGAAAGCCCACGGCUCAACCGUGGAGGGUCAUUGGAAACUGGGAAACUUGAGUGCAGAAGAGGAAAGUGGAAUUCCAUGUGUAGCGGUGAAAUGCGCAGAGAUAUGGAGGAACACCAGUGGCGAAGGCGACUUUCUGGUCUGUAACUGACGCUGAUGUGCGAAAG
This 755-nucleotide ribosomal RNA is filed under the name uncultured bacterium. RNAcentral describes it as "bacterial SSU rRNA". It matches the Rfam family "Bacterial small subunit ribosomal RNA", at positions 22 to 759 of the family's 1533-position model. The record is from RNAcentral.